This is a regulatory RNA element of Lachnospiraceae bacterium 5_1_57FAA, 168 nucleotides long. It matches the Rfam family "Lysine riboswitch aptamer". From Rfam's summary of the family: Riboswitches are metabolite binding domains within certain messenger RNAs that serve as precision sensors for their corresponding targets. Allosteric rearrangement of mRNA structure is mediated by ligand binding, and this results in modulation of gene expression. The record is from Rfam. Lineage: Bacteria; Bacillati; Bacillota; Clostridia; Lachnospirales; Lachnospiraceae.
GGACUUGAUAGAGGCGCGGAUUUCAUCAGUACUCAAAAGCCAUAGCCCGGGCGGCUGCUUUAGAGGAAAGGGGAGGCCGCCGAAGGAUGUGCAUGGCCCGUAUGCAUGUUCUGGGACGUAUGCAUAAGAUGCUGCGGACUGUCACAACAGUGGAGCGCUAUCAGAGUA